UACAGAGGGGGCAAGCGUUGUUCGGAAUUACUGGGCGUAAAGCGUGCGCAGGCGGUUCUCCAAGUCAGUGGUGAAAGCCCGGAGCUCAACUCCGGAACUGCCAUUGAAACUGUAGAGCUAGAGUACGAGAGAGGUGAGUGGAAUUCCCAGUGUAGAGGUGAAAUUCGUAGAUAUUUGGAAGAACACCGGUGGCGAAGGCGGCUCACUGGCUCGUAACUGACGCUCAUGCACGACAGCGUGGGGAUCAAACAGG
RNAcentral lists this ribosomal RNA (253 nucleotides) under uncultured bacterium. RNAcentral describes it as "partial 16S ribosomal RNA". It matches the Rfam family "Bacterial small subunit ribosomal RNA", at positions 524 to 776 of the family's 1533-position model. The record is from RNAcentral.